CCUACGGGAGGCAGCAGUGAGGAAUAUUGGUCAAUGGACGAGAGUCUGAACCAGCCAAGUAGCGUGAAGGAUGACUGCCCUAUGGGUUGUACACUUCUUUUAUAAAGGAAUAAAACGAGGCACGUGUGCCUUUUUGCAUGUACUUUAUGAAUAAGGAUCGGCUAACUCCGUUCCAGCAGCCUCGGUAAUACGGAUGAUCCGAGCGUUAUCCGGAUUUAUUGGGUUUAAAGGGAGCGUAGAUGGGUUGUUAAGUCAGUUGUGAAAGUUUGCGGCUCAAACGUAAAAUUGCAAUUGAUACUGGCAGUCUUGAGUACAGUUGAGGUAGGCGGAAUUCGUGGUGUAGCGGUGAAAUGCUUAGAUAUCACGAAGAACCCCGAUUGCGAAGGCAGCUUACUAAACUGCGACUGACAUUGAUGCUCGAAAGUGUGGGUAUCAAACAGGAUUAGAUACCCUUGUAGUC
RNAcentral lists this ribosomal RNA (460 nucleotides) under uncultured bacterium. RNAcentral's name for it is "partial 16S ribosomal RNA". It matches the Rfam family "Bacterial small subunit ribosomal RNA", at positions 338 to 795 of the family's 1533-position model. The record is from RNAcentral.